GAUUUAACAACAACAAAAAGAACUUUAUAAAACAGGCUUUGAAUAGCCUUUUUCUGACUCACCUUUACUAUGCAAAUACCCAUAAUUCAGAAGACAUCUUUCUACAAAUUUCUGUUAGUAUCUCCUGUCUAGUCUGAGGCUGGCUGUUGGAGGACAAUUUAAAAGUCAAUGCAUUUUUCAGAAGCAGACAUCAUGAUCUAUGAGCGAUACUCACAAUUCAAUUAAUUCUUUCAGACUGAUAAAGAGUUGUGAAAGGCUCACAGGAAUUUGUGCAGAAAUUUCUUCGUCCAUAGGUGGCAUCUGCAGGUGGUCUGGCAUCACAGAAGCUGUGUGCUCUUCAUGCAGAGGGACCUCACUGUUUGUGAGAAUUGGCUGCUACGAGAUUAAGCCUGAGGUGGCUUUUUAAAGCCUUCCUCAGUCAUUCAAGCAGACUAAAAAGGUGGUGAACUCCAACCUCUGUUUCUUCAAAUCCCCUCUCUGUUGUGAUGCUUACAAAAAAUUGAGAAGGAAGUGGUAGCUGACGGCUUCUGUCAAUAGUGUUGCCAAUGUGGUUUUGUUAUUACUUGUGCUCCCCAGCUGUCUCUAUCCAAUUUUUGUCUCCCAUAAGCUGUAUGCAACGGGUCCUGAAUGCGUGCAAUGUGGAGGGAAAUGUAAACUGGGUGAUUAUGUACAAUCUUGUAAUAGAAAGAAAUAAUAACUCCUCCAACAACAUUUAAAUCCCAAUUCUCAUCCAAACACUAACCGCAAUGUCUGCCUCCCCCACAACACACACAAUUGCUAAUUCAAUCAGGGCAAGGUAAAGGCUUC
This 807-nucleotide long non-coding RNA is filed under the name Anser brachyrhynchus (Pink-footed goose). Its description in RNAcentral is "lncRNA (ENSABRG00000008536.1)". Lineage: Eukaryota; Metazoa; Chordata; Aves; Anseriformes; Anatidae. The record is from RNAcentral.